GGGGCUAUAACUCAGCGGGAGAGUGCCACACUGGCAGUGUGGAAGUCGAGAGUUCAAAUCUCUUUAGCUCCACCA
This 75-nucleotide transfer RNA is filed under the name Clostridiaceae bacterium. RNAcentral's name for it is "tRNA-Ala". It matches the Rfam family "tRNA". Rfam says of the family: Transfer RNA (tRNA) molecules are approximately 80 nucleotides in length. Lineage: Bacteria; Bacillati; Bacillota; Clostridia; Eubacteriales; Clostridiaceae. RNAcentral also lists the same sequence under 1 other name. The record is from RNAcentral.